Molecule: ribosomal RNA, 900 nt
Filed under: uncultured bacterium
Lineage: Bacteria
Description: bacterial SSU rRNA
Rfam family: Bacterial small subunit ribosomal RNA
Source: RNAcentral
AAUAUCUAGCGUCUAAUAUCUAGACUAGUGGCGGACGGGUGAGUAACGCGUGAGCAACCUGCCUAACAGAGGGGGAUAACGUAUGGAAACGUACGCUAAUACCGCAUAAUAUAUAUUUAUCGCAUGGUAGAUAUAUCAAAGGAGCAAUCCGCUGAUAGAUGGGCUCGCGUCCGAUUAGAUAGUUGGUGGGGUAAUGGCUCACCAAGUCAGCGAUCGGUAGCCGGACUGAGAGGUUGAACGGCCACAUUGGAACUGAGACACGGCCCAGACUCCUACGGGAGGCAGCAGUGGGGGAUAUUGCACAAUGGGCGAAAGCCUGAUGCAGCAACGCCGCGUGAGGGAAGACGGUUUUCGGAUUGUAAACCUCUGUCUUCGGUGAAGAAAAAAAUGACGGUAGCCGAGGAGGAAGCCACGGCUAACUACGUGCCAGCAGCCGCGGUAAUACGUAGGUGGCGAGCGUUGUCCGGAAUUACUGGGUGUAAAGGGAGCGCAGGCGGGGAGACAAGUCAGCUGUGAAAACUAUGGGCUUAACCCAUAAACUGCAGUUGAAACUGUUUUUCUUGAGUGGAGUAGAGGUAGGCGGAAUUCCGAGUGUAGCGGUGAAAUGCGUAGAUAUUCGGAGGAACACCAGUGGCGAAGCGGCCUACUGGGCUCUAACUGACGCUGAGGCUCGAAAGUGUGGGGAGCAAACAGGAUUAGAUACCCUGGUAGUCCACACUGUAAACGAUGAUUGCUAGUGUGGGGGGGUCUGACCCCUUUCGUGCCGCAGCUAACGCAAUAAGCAAUCCACCUGGGGAGUACGCGCAGUUGAAACUCAAAGAAUUGACGGGGCCCGCACAAGCAGUGGAUUAUGUGUUUAAUUCGAAGCACGCGAGAACCUUACAGGUUCUUGACAUCGAC